RNAcentral lists this unclassified non-coding RNA (222 nucleotides) under Hevea brasiliensis (rubber tree). Lineage: Eukaryota; Viridiplantae; Streptophyta; Magnoliopsida; Malpighiales; Euphorbiaceae. The record is from RNAcentral.
GGAUCCUCUUCCAAUCCAUGUGCUCCAUGCGGGAACAUGAUUCAUGAGUGGUCUUCUAUUCUUUCAAGUUGUGUAACUUGUAAUUUAAUGGGGAAUACCUUCAUUUAAACAUUAUUUACUUUUUCAGUCUGCAAUUAAUGUUAUAAUUGCUUUUCUCUGUUCUUGUUCCUCACAUGAGAAUGUGUUUUUAUUAUUAUUAUUCUACUCAACUCAACUAAGCCU